Molecule: long non-coding RNA, 440 nt
Filed under: Pelobates cultripes (western spadefoot toad)
Lineage: Eukaryota; Metazoa; Chordata; Amphibia; Anura; Pelobatidae
Source: RNAcentral
CAAGUGAUGCGCCUGUUGAGUGCUGAGAACCAAGACGCACGGAACUACGAGUACCAACUGUGGAGUUUGGGGGUAUUGACACCCCGUCUCCAGCGACAGAGUGAGUUACAGGGAGAGGAGAGCAGCGACCUCCCUUCCCAGCGGCAGUGCACCGUACAGAGGGAAGAGACAACCGGUCUCUCUCCCCAGCAGCGGCCUGAGUUCCAGGAGGAGGUGAUGGUAGAUCCCUCCCCCGUACAGCAACCAGCGUCCUGGGGAGGGGAGGCAACCGGCCUCCCUCUCCAACAGCAGCCGGAGGUGGGCGACCUCAUAGACUUGUCCUGGGGACACAGAGAGAUGGCAAGCGGAGAUGGGACCGAAGUCUCUCUGCCAGCCCUACAGGGAUGCUGGGCAGUCAGCCCAGGUCCCCAGCGGCAGUAUAAUAUACAGUGAGAGGAGAC